RNAcentral lists this ribosomal RNA (492 nucleotides) under uncultured bacterium. RNAcentral's name for it is "partial 16S ribosomal RNA". It matches the Rfam family "Bacterial small subunit ribosomal RNA", at positions 29 to 507 of the family's 1533-position model. The record is from RNAcentral.
AGUGAACGCUGGCGGUAGGCCUAACACAUGCAAGUCGAACGGCAGCACAGUAAGAGCUUGCUCUUACGGGUGGCGAGUGGCGGACGGGUGAGGAAUACAUCGGAAUCUACUUUUUCGUGGGGGAUAACGUAGGGAAACUUACGCUAAUACCGCAUACGACCUACGGGGGAAAGCAGGGGAUCUUCGGACCUUGCGCGAUUGAAUUAGCCGAUGUCGGCUUAGCUAGUUGGCGGGGUACAGGCCCACCAAGGCGAGGAUCCGUAGCUGGUGUGAGAGGAUGAUCAGCCACACUGGAACUGAGACACGGUCCAGACUCCUACGGGAGGCAGCAGUGGGGAAUAUUGGACAAUGGGCGCAAGCCUGAUCCAGCCAUACCGCGUGGGUGAAGAAGGCCUUCGGGUUGUAAAGCCCUUUUGUUGGGAAAGAAAAGCAGCAGGUUAAUACCCCGCUGUUCUGACGGUACCCAAAGAAUAAGCACCGGCUAACUUCGUG